AGAAGCAUUUGCAAAAUGCGUAUUUCAUUAUAUUAUAUUUCAUUUUGUAACCUAGAUAACUUAUUGAAGAGUCAAAAAAUUAUCAUUGGGUUCAAUUUUCGACAUAGGAGAGGUUCAAUUUUCCUCUACGGAAAAUUACUACGGAGUUUUAUUUUAUUUUAUGUUCUCAUUCGUUACAAUAAUUACUAUGUGGAGACGUGUCACUAGUAAAACGCAUACGCAGUGAUGUAUCGCGUAAAUAAUUAAUAUCCAAAUCACAGAUGGUCCGGUACGGAUUCUUGCUGAACACCAGCUGAAAUAUCUCGAAGAGACGAAUUAUUUUCUUGCAUUACAAAUAUAUAGAAGAUGUGGUGUGAGUGCAAAUGAGACAACUCUCCAUCCAUUUAUGCUCUCCGGAUCCCUUUUCUAUCAAUCUGUAAACCAAUAAUAAAAGCUUUCAUUAGUACCAUGAGCUUUUAUUUUG
RNAcentral lists this long non-coding RNA (463 nucleotides) under Mytilus galloprovincialis (Mediterranean mussel). The record is from RNAcentral. Lineage: Eukaryota; Metazoa; Mollusca; Bivalvia; Mytilida; Mytilidae.